GGUCCUGUGAUCUAGCGGUUAGGAUGCCAGAUUUUGAGGAGACUCGAACCUUCUGGUCGCCCCGGUUCAAACCCGGGCAGGACCU
RNAcentral lists this transfer RNA (85 nucleotides) under Plectosphaerella cucumerina. It matches the Rfam family "tRNA". Rfam says of the family: Transfer RNA (tRNA) molecules are approximately 80 nucleotides in length. Their secondary structure includes four short double-helical elements and three loops (D, anti-codon, and T loops). The record is from Rfam by way of RNAcentral. Lineage: Eukaryota; Fungi; Ascomycota; Sordariomycetes; Glomerellales; Plectosphaerellaceae.